This 11947-nucleotide long non-coding RNA is filed under the name Sorghum bicolor (sorghum). RNAcentral's name for it is "long non-coding RNA (SBIC_LNC009507)". The stretch from base 2863 to 2971 matches the Rfam family "MIR5565 microRNA precursor family". Lineage: Eukaryota; Viridiplantae; Streptophyta; Magnoliopsida; Poales; Poaceae. The record is from RNAcentral.
AAAUUAUGUAAUUACAUAAAGGUUUAUACUUACAUACACACCAAAGGAACAUGCAAGAUUGUCUAACAGUGAACAUAUAAAUCGAUCUGGAUUUUCCAUCAUGACAAGCUUCCUCUAGUAGAAAUUAAUGCCCGGAUGACAUACACUUAGCAACAUAAAAUCCUUUAGGCUUUGAACAUGCCGCACGAUUUGAUCUUCCUUGCUAAAGAUCUGCGAUAUUGUGAAGAAAUCACCAUGAUUGGACAAUUAUCAAUGCAGGGAUUAUUUUUAAAUUUAUUUUUAAAUAAUAAUGGUAACGGCGCGGCGAUCGCUUUUCUUUCUGAACCCAGUCUAUGACUGCGCCCUGUAAGUGGGCAGGUGCGUGCGCAACCCACGAGCACAAGAAAUCUUUGUUCGCACUUGCCCAUCCCUGUACCUUCUUGCCCUAUCGUUGUUUAGGACGUUUUCCACCUUUGCCUCUCCCAGUUGUUGGUGUUCCUACUGCCCUUAUAGGUGAGGAUAGAUCCUAAUCCCACCCGUCGAUGCGUAGACGAGAUUAGUUUCCACGAUCUACUCUGAUCCGAGACAGAAUUUCAGCAGCACCUCGCCGCUAUUCUUCCGAUACAUGUCCUAAAAGGGAGAGUGUGUAUCCAAAGAGAACAACAGGUUGGUGAUGCCAAAACUCUAUCUCAAAUCGGAGCAGAACAUGGAAACUAACUCAUCUAUGCAUCCGUAGGCUGUCCCAAAAACAUGGACAAUCCAAACAGAUACGGUUAUGCAUAUGAAAAGAUCUACAUACUUCUAACCGUAACUCUUUCGAACGGGAGACGCCUAACUAGGCUACACCAAUCUACGUAUGAUAACGGUAAGUAAGAGAGGCUAAUUAUACCUAAGGUGACAGUGGAGACAGGCUAGCGGAGGAGUGGCGAGUCGGCGCUAUGAAGGCACGACUGCAGCACCAACUAAGAUGAUCAGGGUCGUCUAGGUGCUCCGGGUACCCUCCGACAGCUCUUGCUCUGCAAAAGAAGAAACACAACACCCUAGGUUCAAAACCUGCAAAAAAAAACAUUGACACAAAGGCCGAUGUCCAUAUUUCUGGCACGAUGGCUCAAACAUCCACAAACCCGGCUCGAAGGCCGUCAACGAUAUAAACGGCAUGAUGACUGAUAUUCAUGGGGCUUUACCUUCUCCUCUGGCGACGAUCGGAGAAGAGGCGGUGCAGGGGCGGCCGGGGCAGCGAGGAAGGCCGGGGCUGGGUGCGGCGGCCGGGCAAGGCUCAGCGGCGGCCAGGGCGGGCUUGACGGCGGGCGGGCACGGCUUGGGCCGAGGCUUGGCAGCGAUGAAGGCGGGGCGGGGCCGGGGCCGGACGCGGCGGCGGCCGGGGGUGUCCUUGCGGCCGCGGAGCGGCUUGGGGCUGGGGCCGGUGGGGCGGGCAUGGCACGGCCGAGCGCGGCGGGUGCGGGCAGGGCGGGCGCGGGCAAGCGCGGCUCAGUGGUGGGAGCAGUCGGGGCGGGGCUGGGCUCGGUGGUGGGCGGCUCGGCGGUGGGUAAGAAUGGCCCAAGUGGCCAGGCAAAGUAUCAUUUGAAGCCCCUUUGCCGAUUGCCAGCGAUCCGGCACUCAUCAAAGGUUUUUUUUUAAUUUCUUUGCCGAGUGCUGCCAGAUCUGGCACUCACCAAAGCCUAUUUUUUUUAAAAAAAAAUUAUUGUUUGCCGAGUGCCAACUGAUCCGGCACUCGGCAAAGAUUUUUUUUGAAAAUUUAUUCUGUGCUGAGUACCACUCGGUCUGCACUUGGUAAAGAUUAUUUCUUAUUUUUUUAAAAAAAAAAUACUUUAUUCUUUGCCGAAUAAAUUUUUUUUUGAAAGAAUAUUUUGUGCCAAGUGCCACCCGAUUCGGCAUCGGCAAAGAUAAUUUUUAAACUUUUUAAAAAGAAAAACUUUAUGCUUUGUCAAGUGUCGUAGAAAACACAAUUUUUAUUUUUUUUAAAAAAAUUAUUCUUUGUCAAGAGCCAUCCUACCCGACACUCAGCAAAGAUUAUUUUUAGUUUUUUUAAAAAUAAAAACUUUAUUCUUUGCCGAGUGCCGUACCGGUGGUACUCGGCAAAGACAAUUUUUAUUUUUUUUUGAAAAAUUAUUCUUUGCCAUGUGCAUCCUAAGGCACUCAACAAAGAAUUUUUUUUUGCCUCCAAACUUUUUCUACUGACUUUAAACUUUAUUUUAAAGUGCAUAAAUUUGGCAUAAUUCUCGAUAUAUUUUCUAUAUAUCUUUAAUUUAUUUCACUUAAACGUAUUUUUUCCGAAAAUACAAUAUUGAACUAUAGGUGCAUGGAAUUAUAGAAUUCGAUGAUUAGAAAAAUGAUAUUCACGAUACUUAUUAUAGUUUGAGGUCAUUUCCAGGAGCACGUCCGAAAUUUCGAACGUCUUAUACACGAAACAUGGCGACAAAGUUAUGGGAGAAAUGUAUUUUAAUUAUAUAAAUUACAAAUGGAGUUCGAAAAUCUUAAAACCUAGUGACACGUCUCGACAUCACAUGAGGAGGCUAUGAUAAAAAUUUGAUAAUAUUUCAUGAAAGUUAUCACGUCCGAUAGUUAUAAACCAUGCUUUUAGGCAUCUGACCCAGCUAGCUGCAAUCUAGGUAUUGUAGGACCAUUUACCCGUUUGCACACAUAUCUUAUAUUUUCCCUCGUGAUUAUCGGCUAGUAGCUGAAUUAAAAAAACAUUUUACUAAUAAUUAAAUAAAUUAUAGUAGCAUACCAUUAAUAAACUUUGUACUUCAAUACUUUGCAGAUCCUUCACCCAUGUUUCUAUCAGACGAUCAGCAUAGGCUCUCAUGAAACCCUCUGUACGCUUUUCCAUGUAUGCUCACAUUACUUAGGCCUUGUUUGGAUGUAGUCGUAUUCACAUUAAUCUACAUGUGUUGAGGUGGAUUGGAGUGGAACUUGAACUAAAUUCCACCCCAAUCCACACCAACACACAUGGAUUGAAGUGAAUACGACAACAUCCAAACAAGGCCUUACAUGUGUGGAUCAGCGCCACAAGAAACCGGCCACACAUCGGGAAUGAACGUGGCCCACGAUCGUGAAAGGACGAGGAACGUCGUGAUACAUAUCUAGAUAUAUAAUAAAACAAUAUAUUUAGAAAUGCAUGCUAAAAUAUCUUAUAAUUUGAAAUAGAGUAUUACAUUUAUAGGUCAACCCUAGAUAAUCUUAUAUUUGAAACAGACACCAACAGUUGAACUGUUUUUUGUACAUCAAGGUAGUACAAGCAAGUGGAAAUCCUUCAGCGGUUUAAUAUGCUGGAAUAUUGAACUUCCUUGUCAAAUAACUGUGAUCCUUCAAAGACAACAUCUUGAUUGGACAAUCAUGAGUGCAGGCGUUAGAUUUCAGUAAAAACGGUCGUGUGGAUCGCUUUUCUUUCUGCAUCCAGUAGUCGACGACCGAGCCCUGCAACUGGGCAGGCAUGUGCGUAAUCCACGAGCUAAUAAAUUCAUUGUUAGCACUUAUCCAUCCCUGAAAUGGAACCUCCUUGUCCUGUCGUUGCUUACGGCGUUUUCCAACUUUGUCCUUCUUCCUAGUAUUUGCCCUCCAUGAGGUCCUCUCGACCUGAAGGUAUGCGCUUCCAUGUUUGGACUUCGACAACAUCUGAUAUGAGGUAGUUUUCACAUUCCCACUAAGGCAAUCUACUGCUUUUGGCAUCGUGAUCUCGGCCAGCUGUUCAAAGGAAAUGUUUGCAUACAUGCUACAUUGUUUCUCUUCAUUGUUGAUUAUCUCUGACACUGAACCCCAGACAGUAGGUGACAAAUCUUCAAAAGAGGCAUGAGGCCAGAAGUGUGCUCCAAGUUUCAGAUAUGGAAAGUCUCUCAUGGAGCUUGUUUGGCUUUCACCAUCCAUUACUGCCCUCAGCCUAUUGUUCCCAACUGAGAGUGUAACAUGUCCUAGCAAAUACACUUGGAAAACUGGUUCCAUGUAUAUAUCACAUGGCAAUGAUUUUGGAGAGGAGCUCUGGGCAUGGGGAUGGUCUUGUUGUUGACAACAAAAUGGGUUUGGUCGAAACCAUUUAGAAUACAUGGUGUGAAGUAUAUUAUGUUGGUCAUCACAGCCAUAAACUGAAUAAGCAUCAAACACCGAAUACAUGUCUUGCGUUCGCAUCGGCUGUUAAGCUCAUGUAUGGUAUGAACAGCUGCAGACAUCUGACUACAACCCCAACUAUGUCAGUACUCUCAGAGAGUCAUAAGCUGAGGGAAAGAAGGAAAUUAUUCUGUGGCACAUUGCCAUCUUCAAGUAAGAAUACCAAGCUCCCCCCUGUCCCAUUGUCGGGUAGACUAAAGGGCUGUAGAGUAAGUGAGAGAUGUUGCCCCCCACGGACAAAGCAAUACUUUCACUGCUACAGAAUGAGGCGUUGGUCGAUGCCCAAGAUCGCCAAAAAGCGAUACCGGUCGGAACUCCCUCUCAUUACUUGUGGCAAGUGUGGGCAGAAGAUUGUGAUGAAGUAAAAGUGUCGAAAGAGGGAGUAAACAAGGGUCGUAUAUUCUACAAGUGUCUGGAUCAUAAUGUGAGUUAUUUCCAGAAUGUGUGCUUAUUUUUUAAUGAUAUUAAUUAAACUUUUGAUUCUCUCUUUUAAUUUCAGUGGGACGGUACCGGCAGAUGUACAGGUUGGUACUGGGAGGAAGAAUACAUUUCCAUUUAUAUAUGCUUAAUAUGCGUGUAAUAUAUAUAUUAUUAUAUCAGCAUAAAAUAUGUAUUGACAAACCUAUUAUUAUUAUAUAAAAACAAUAAACAGAACCGAAGAAAUGAACCGAAAAAAAACAAAACCCUACCAACCGGUAUUAAGGGGGGGGGCUUUAGCCCCGGUUCCCUGAACCGGGACUAAAGGGUGGGCCUUUAGUCCCGGAAGGGCAGCAUUGGCUCGGGAACCGGAGCAACAGGCUCUUCCUGACCGGUGCUAAUGCUCGAUCGUCCAGCGGUGUUUGUUCCUUUGCCAGCGAGAAGAUGGCGUAUAAGAGGCACAGAGAACAUGUAUCUACAUGGUGUGCCACCAAGCUCCACGUACCUCAAGAACUCGGUCGCACCAUCUGCAAAGUGCUCGAAUCGCCGCACAACGUUGGAUCCUCGAUCUGAGCUUGUCGUCAUUACCGAAUCGCCGCAAAGUGCUACUAAAGAUUGACGAAACAAAUGACAUAGCAGUAUGAGCAACCCUCUUAGGAAAGGAGGAGCUCUGUACUGCCUGCUGCACUUCUUCCUCUUCUUGGAAUGCCUGCAACGGCGCAAAGCAUGAUCGCACUCCUGUGUGGCACGCUUGAGCUUGCUUCACCAGUGAAGCAGUGGUGCGCGCGCUGGUGAUAUUCCACAUGUUGGAUGUCUCAAGGGCAGCUUCUAGCUUGAUGUGCGCCAUCUCCGUCCUCUCUAAGCGCUCCUUUGCAUCUGACUUCUCCACAUAACCCUCCUUGAUUCUUGAUAAGACUUUGUUAACAGCCUCCUGGGCCACUGCAGAACGGACCAUCUCUGCUGCCAUUGAGAUUGAUCAAAGCAAUCUGUAGAAUCGGUUGUCCUUCAUGCAAAGAAUGAAAGCAUAAUAUUGUUGCAUACAUAUAUGAGUUAGUUUGUCCCUAUGCAUCAGUCUAAAAUAUAUGAUUAAUUGUAAAGUGCAAGUGUAGGAAAUCAAAACCUGGCGUGGUCGAACACUUGAACUACCUAGCUGUAGGUUUCCAGAAUGUUGACACCACUGCAACACAGACAGAGAUCAUGAUGUUGACACCACUUGAAUCUAUCCUGCCCAGCCAGCUCGUUGUGGCCAUACAUAUUGGAAGGUAUACUUCAUUUGUGAGAGGGAUAUGCAUUCAGGAGGACUUUGAAUAGACGGAAAAGACAAUUAAGUAAUGUAGAGGGCCAAGUGGCUGUGAGGUUGAUGUAUGGAUCACAUCGCCAAGACCGCCAGAGUGGAGUGACAGCUACACCAUUGGGACUUUGGGAGUAAUCUAGGAACAUGUCAAGUGUGGGCCACAUGUCCCAUGGUGCGCUAGCUAGAAUUCUAUACACAGGACUGAGCAUUCUACUGGUCAACAGUGGAAAAAUAAACGUAGAAUAUAUAGAAGAUCUAGAGGGACACCGAAAGCAAUGGGUCAAUGAUGAUAUAUACUAUAUGCUAGGUAGGGGAGGGCGUGGAUACUUUUCUUGCUUCGAGGCGAUCAUCAAGAACGAGAUGAGUCCAGUCCAGCUUCAAUCUUACAUUUACUAAUUAGAGCCCAAACGGAGCUUCCAUAUUAAUUCUUCUCACAAGAUGCGCUUGAAAAAGAAAAGAUAAAUGCUAGAAAUUAUCAUGUUAAUCAGAAACAUCUAUCCCUUAAUUAAAAAAGAGACUCUAACUAUCUGUAACAUUAGAUCUAUUUUGUCCUUUAAGAAAAAUAGUUAUACGAACUAAUAUUCACGCUAUUGGUUAAUAAACUCCGGUCACAAGGGGGCAGUUGGUUAAUAAAAUCAGCAUAGUUAUACAAACUAAUAUUCACGUCGUUGGUUUCUUUUUGUUGAAUUGCUUGCCUUUCAUUAGAAUCAACCGGCCGAGGCAUCAUACAUUGCCAAUGUCUGAUACACAUGCUGAAGUUACAUGCCACAACUCUAGUCAUUGUGUACUCAAGACUUGCUUGGCUAAUAUAUGAGCAACCUUAUUACAAAAACAUUUAACAUAAGAAAGGGAAAAUUCCUGAAAACCGGGUCUAAAAACCACCAACUGGGGUUCAUGAACACCAUCCAACUAACUAAUGACUUUACCCUAAUACUAGCUCAAACCUGAGCCAACUUGAUUGAAAACAACCGAACUAGCAUCUCAACUGCACUGGCAACUAGUUAAUAACUAAAGCACAUGAGAACAACUCGAUCAAACCAUGAAACCAGGAACCAACUAGCAAAAACAACAAACUCUACCAACCAGAGCACAACCAACACAGCUUGGAGCACCACCAAGGCCAGACGACGUGAGAGCAACAGCGGUGCUGGAAAGCCUAGCCACACCUCCAAGAAGGAAAUGAUGCUGAAGGCACCAAUUUUUAUAAGGCUUGGCUAACCGCCUCCUGGGCCACUGCAGAACUGACCAUAUAUGUGCAGCCAUUAGGAUUGAUCAAACCAACCUGUAGAACUUGACUGUCCAGCAUGCUCAACUGGAAAGAAAGCAAAAUACUAUCACUCAAUACAUAUAGGAGUCAGAAUGUCCCUUUUUUUGCGAUCACACCGAAGGCGCGUAUUUCAUUAAGCAGGAAAGAGUUUGCCAGAAACAAUGAACAAGGAACACACACCGACCGAAUCACCAAGAAACAAAACCGAAACAGACAGACACAGCCAGCAACCACAGUUGCCACAGCCCAGCAGAGAAAAAUAGGAGCAAGGAAGCUUGCUCACAAAAGCCCCUACAAGAAGAAAAACACGAAACCAGGGAACCUGUCCACCUGGAAAUCAGACCCCUACCAACAGACCAGCAAGGUGUCUGAACCCCACACUGCACCAAGCGUCCGCUUCCUCCUUGAUCAGCAACGCCAGCUGAGGUGCCGGCGUCGAGGUUCCCCUGAAGGUCUGAGCAUUGCGUUCCUUCCAUAAAGACCAACACAUCAAGAAGAAGAACGAAUCAAAGCCCCUCCUGAGCGCUUUUGGCAAGAGCUUCCUCACGCGCAGCCACCAUGGAAUGGCAAGAUCAUCCUGGAGAGGGGCAACACCACUAAGUUGGAAGCUCGACAGCCAGCAGUGCCACACCUCCUGGCUAUGACAGCAAGACAGCAAAAUGUGGUCGAUGGUCUCAACCCCUUGGUCACACAUGAUGCAAGUAUCGUCGGGCGCUGCAGUCCAUGACGGCGCCUCCUCUCUGCUGUCCAACAGCGCCCAUGCAAAACCAGCCAGAAAAAGAAGCGUAGCCGCAAUGGCGCCGCCGUCUUCCAAAUUUCCUUAGCGCUGAGGGGUAGCGACGCACCAAGGAACAUGGCACCAUAGGCGGACGCCAGGCGAGGUCUAGUAACGCUUCUGACACCGUUGCCCUCCUCUUGCGCGGCCGCACAGCCGCAAAGACUGUGGGGCGAUGGACUGCACACUUUCACCAUGGUUGAAAAUAGACUCCCCGUUGCCCAAGUUGAACACGGUGGCUGCCUGGAAGAGGGCAAGAGCAGCCCGCUCUGAGGUCCUCGGUGCCUGGCCCUGACGCCUGUCCUUCUAGAUCCACCAUACGCCUAGCGCAAUCCCGGUUCGCCUGAGAUCGGAUAUACCUAGUCCGCCUAGAUAACGCGGUCUGGUCACCAAAGCCCACGCCACUUUACACUUGCCUCCAGCCACAACAUCUGUGCCAGCCCAAAUGAAUGUGCGGCGCAACUUGUCGAUGGUGUUGAUCGCCCAAGGUGAAAGGAAAAUAGCUAUUGAAGUAUAUGGACUGGGAUCGCCGACAAUGUCGCCUUUACAAGUGCCGUGCGUCAAGCAACAUUUAGCAUCUGCCCCUUCCACCCAGGUAUGCGUGCAGCCACUUUGUCUAUGAUCGGUUGCUCCUGUGAUCUCGUAAGUCUCCUGACCGAAAGCGGGACACCCAAGUAGCGACAAGGUAAGUCCUCAACUCGGCAGGGUAGUAUAUUAUGCAGGAGCUGAAUCUGAGUAUCAGUACAGUUCAGGGAGAUUGCCACACUCUUAUCAAGAUUGGAGAAGAGGCCCGAAGCCAGUCCAAAAAUACUCAGCACCCCUCUGAUCACCUCCAAGUCCCGCUGCUGUGGAAGGACGAACAGAAUUAGAUCAUCCGCGUAAAGACUAACUCGGUACCCAGCAAUGCCACUGAUAGGCGCUAAAAACCCCGCUGCUCCACCCAGCUUAGGCAGUUAUUCAGACUCUCCAUGAUCGUCAGCACGAAAAGCAUGUCUCUGUUAAUCAGUUUUGCAAGAGCAGAGGAAAUCAUUAUCAGAACCUGGUGAGGUUUGAUCUAGCUGUAAGAUUGCUAACUUCUGAAUGUGACGAUAUGUAGUCGUGUUUAUUUGAGAAAAAAGGUUGCUGGGUUGUGGCCAGCACCAACAGGAGUUUGUGAAUCCAUGCAGCCCGGCCAGCCAGUUGCAUGAGCAUACACACGGAGAGGUACAUUGUUUGAGAGCGACAUCGUGGAAAUUUGUCAUGAGUGAUAUACACAUAGGAAGACUUUGAAUACUUUUGGAGUAGUGGGCAAAGCACUGAGGUUGACAUGUAUCACAUCUCGGAGAGUCGCCAGAAUUAAUUGAUAUAUAGACACCUCUAGGAAUGCGUCAGAAAUGGGCCAGAAAUAUUCAUCUCAUAGGACCAACUUGAGUCAAAGUCGACGGCUGGUGACAAAACGUAGAAAUCUAGGUUUGAAAUCUUGGAGCAAAAAGCAUGAGAGAAGGAAAAUAUUAGAUUUUUUUUAAUACCAAAUUAUUAAAAAUUAUUUAUACUAAAUAUAUUGUUUACAAAACAGACUAGCUUUAAAAAUGAUGUAGCUAUGUAAUUGAUAUGCAAAUUUACUUAGGCUAUUUUCAUAAUAACAUAGGUAGUUUAAUUGAAUAUUUGGGGUUACUCAGAUUAUUUUUUACAAUACCAGAUGUGGGGAUUUAGAUAAAUAUAUUUAGGGGUAACUUUAUGCUACUUUCAAGAUGUGAGUAAUAUAUAUAUAGGGAUUGAUGGUUAUUUUAGGCCCUUUUAUAAUAAAAUGACCAGGGUUGGUAAUUUGUAUGUAGAUUUCUCUGGUGUUACUUUGGCGGAUCCAAGGGCAGGGCUGCCUGUGCUGCAGCCCUAGUCCUUGGCUAUAAGACUCCAUACAAACUUACUUCAUCAGCUAUACACUCCAUACAAACGUACUUUAUUUUUUGAGCCAAACCGGAGUGGGAGAAUAGUAAAUAUUUAUUAAAACAAGGUGAGCAAUAAGUUGACAAGAGCUUCAGGAAGUAAUUAAAGAAGGAUUAAAGUUAUUAUAUUUCUUAUGGUCAUGUGGAUACAAAAUUAUAAAAGUGUCACAAUUAAUCUCAAAGGAGUUAACCUUAACUCCCACUAUAAUGCCCUUAGGACACUCACAAUGCAGACUCUAUCAUAGAGUCUAAAGUUAUUUAUUACCUCGAACAAUGUGGACUUAGAGUCUAAAUAAGACUUGGAGUCUUAUUUUUUCUACCUCUUUCUUCAAUAAAUAUGCUGCCACAUCAGCAAAAUACCAUAAAUAAUAUGUAAUUAAUUGUCUUGGACUCUGUGAUAGAGUCUUGCAUUGUGAGUACCCUUAGAGGAACCUUUUGGUUCGAUCCAUUCCCAGUCAACUACCUCAACUACCAACAAUAUACGCAGCCUGCCAUAUGCGGGAAGACCACCAAAUUGUGUGUUGCGUCCUAUCACUAAAAAUUCAGUGAAAAUAGAUUGUGAUCGACAAAGUUAUCCUGGUUUUGAUACAUUCCUAAAGAAUAAAUAGGGUCUAGAGGAUUUCAGAGAUGUAGGAUUUACGAGAAGAGCCACCAUCAAUAGACGAUUUUAGUUUUCUUUUAUUUGUCAUUUUACAGUUUUCUCCUUUUAGUCCCGACAAAUUAUGUAAUUACAUAAAGGCUUAUAUACUUACAGACACACCAAAGGAACAUGCAUGCAAGGUUGUCUAACAGUGAACAUAUAAAUCGAUCUGAAUUUUCCAUCAUGACAAGCUUCCUCUAGUAGAACUUAAUGUCCGGAUGACAUACACUUAAUAACAUAUCCUUUUGGCUUUGAACAUGCUGCACGAUUUGAUCUUCCUUGCUAAAGAUUUGUAAUAUUGCGAAGAAAGCGACAUGAUUGGACAAUCAUCGACACAGGCAUUAUAUUUAAAUAAUAAUGAUAGCGGAAAUCGCUUUUCUAUCUGAACCCAGUCCAUGACUGCGCCCUGUACGUGGGCAGGUGCGUGCGCAACCCACGAGCACAAGUUUGCACUUGCCCAUCCCUGUACCUUCUUGCCCUGUCGUUGUUUAGGACGUUUUCCACCUAUGCCUCUCCCAGUGGUUGGUCCCCGUGAGAUUUUCUCGACUUGAAGGUUUGCGCCACCAUGCUUGGACUUCCAAAGCAUCUGAUAUGAGGUAGCUGCCCCACUCCCACGAAGGCAAUCUACUGCCUUUGGCAUCAUAAAUUCUCCCAACUGUUCAAAGCAAAUUUUUGCAUACAAGCCAUGUUUCACGGCCACCUCAUUGAUCAUUUCUGUUGCUGAACCCUCGACUGCAGGUGACAAAUCUUCAUAAGGGGCAUGGGGAUAGAAAUGAACUCCAAGUUUCAGAUAAGGAAAUUCACUCAUGGGACUUGUUUUGCUUUCACCAUCAGGGACUGCUCUCUGCAUGUUGUUCCCAACAGAAAGAGUGAUAUGGCCUAGCAAAUACACUUGGAUAAUGGGUUCCAUGUAUAUAUCACAUGGCAAUGAUUCUGACGAUGAGCUUUUGAAAUUGUGGCUCUGGGAGUAGUGAUAUUCUUGUUGCUGGCAACAAAAAGGAUUCGGCCGAACCCAUCUGGACCAGAUGGUGUGAAGAUUGUUCUGGUGUUCACCACAAUGGCUAAAAAUAUGAUAAGCAUCGGGCACCCAGCACAAGUCUUGUGUUGGUACCUGAGUGAGCUUUGCCUUCACAGUCUCGACUGUUGAACCUAAGUAAGGUAUGAACAGGUGCAGGCAUCCGACUGCAAUCCUAACUAUGUCUGUACUUUCCGAGAGCCGUAAAGUGAGGACAAGAGCGAAAUUAUUCUCUGCUAUAUUGGUAUCUUCAAGUAUCAAUACUAGGUCAACCUCCAUCCCAUGCUCUUGUAGUGGACUACAGGGUUUUAGAAGAAAUGAGAGAUGUUGACCAUUGUUAACAAAGCAAUACUUUGUUCCUUUGCCAGCGAUAAGAUGGCGUACAAGAGGGUCAGAAAACAUGUGUCUGCGUGGUGUUCCGCCAAGCUCCAAAAAUCUCAAGAAUUCGCUUGCACCUUCGGCAAAGCGUUCGAAUCGCUGGGUGACAGCGGAUCCUUUCAGACCAUCAUCGUCAUC